RNAcentral lists this non-coding RNA (31 nucleotides) under Mus musculus (house mouse). Lineage: Eukaryota; Metazoa; Chordata; Mammalia; Rodentia; Muridae. The record is from RNAcentral.
UGAAAUGAAGAUGGGAGCCUUGUGAUUGGCC